CCGCCACGGACGGCGGUGGUUUCAGCCAGCCGCGAGUUUUUCGUUAGAAAAACUCGUCGUUGAAAAGUGUACACGGAGGUACGCUGUUCAACA
RNAcentral lists this small RNA (93 nucleotides) under uncultured Treponema sp. RNAcentral describes it as "TD-2 RNA". It matches the Rfam family "TD-2 RNA". From Rfam's summary of the family: non coding RNA found in Treponema denticola The record is from RNAcentral. Lineage: Bacteria; Pseudomonadati; Spirochaetota; Spirochaetia; Treponematales; Treponemataceae.